UUCACUUAGAAAUUCGCUAAAAAUCCAAAUUGUCUUCAAAUCUAGCAAACCUUGUGCCUUUCAAAACUAAGAUUAUAAAUCUCAAUGCUCCCAAAAUUUCAAUUGAAUCCAAUCAUAAGGCACUGAGAAAUGCUUUCCCAAACUUGAUUAAUCCAAACUAUGAAGGCAGUUGACUCCCUUGCACUCAAAAUUUCACCAAAAUUUCAAUUCAACUCCAAAUUGAGCAAGCCUUAUCUUAUUGGAAAGCUAAAAAAAAAAGAUAAAACAUAAAUUAAUUUCAUAUUGAAACUAAAAAAAUUUAAUAACUCAUUGAGGGAAAUCCGAGGCUCUUAAAAGCCUUGGAGUAUUUGGGAGGCCAAGGGAGCUAUCUACUACAAUGAAGCAUGUUUUAAAACCCAAUGACUAUCAUUUACAAAAACAAAUCUAUGCACACCCAUCCAAAA
RNAcentral lists this long non-coding RNA (443 nucleotides) under Physcomitrium patens. RNAcentral describes it as "long non-coding RNA (PPAT_LNC007082)". The record is from RNAcentral. Lineage: Eukaryota; Viridiplantae; Streptophyta; Bryopsida; Funariales; Funariaceae.